RNAcentral lists this ribosomal RNA (497 nucleotides) under uncultured bacterium. RNAcentral describes it as "partial 16S ribosomal RNA". It matches the Rfam family "Bacterial small subunit ribosomal RNA", at positions 28 to 507 of the family's 1533-position model. The record is from RNAcentral.
GAUGAACGCUGGCGGCGUGCCUAAUACAUGCAAGUCGAGCGAACGGACGAGAAGCUUGCUUCUCUGAUGUUAGCGGCGGACGGGUGAGUAACACGUGGAUAACCUACCUAUAAGACUGGGAUAACUUCGGGAAACCGGAGCUAAUACCGGAUAAUAUUUUGAACCGCAUGGUUCAAAAGUGAAAGACGGUCUUGCUGUCACUUAUAGAUGGAUCCGCGCUGCAUUAGCUAGUUGGUAAGGUAACGGCUUACCAAGGCAACGAUGCAUGGCCGACCUGAGAGGGUGAUCGGUCACACUGGAACUGAGACACGGUCCAGACUCCUACGGGAGGCAGCAGUAGGGAAUCUUCCGCAAUGGGCGAAAGCCUGACGGAGCAACGCCGCGUGAGUGAUGAAGGUCUUCGGAUCGUAAAACUCUGUUAUUAGGGAAGAACAUAUGUGUAAGUAACUGUGCACAUCUUGACGGUACCUAAUCAGAAAGCCACGGCUAACUACGUG